Molecule: transfer RNA, 72 nt
Filed under: Ovis aries (sheep)
Lineage: Eukaryota; Metazoa; Chordata; Mammalia; Artiodactyla; Bovidae
Rfam family: tRNA
About the family: Transfer RNA (tRNA) molecules are approximately 80 nucleotides in length. Their secondary structure includes four short double-helical elements and three loops (D, anti-codon, and T loops). Further hydrogen bonds mediate the characteristic L-shaped molecular structure. tRNAs have two regions of fundamental functional importance: the anti-codon, which is responsible for specific mRNA codon recognition, and the 3' end, to which the tRNAs corresponding amino acid is attached (by aminoacyl-tRNA synthetases). tRNAs cope with the degeneracy of the genetic code in two manners: having more than one tRNA (with a specific anti-codon) for a particular amino acid; and 'wobble' base-pairing, i.e. permitting non-standard base-pairing at the 3rd anti-codon position.
Source: Rfam by way of RNAcentral
UCCCUGGUGGCUCAGUUGGUAAGGAACCUGCGUGCCAUGCAGGAGACCCAGGUUCGAUCCCUGGGUAGGGAA